AAUCAAGUGUCUUAAGGGCAUCUAGUGGAUGCCUUGGCGCACACAGGCGAUGAAAGACGUGAUACGCUGCGAUAAGCGUCGGGGAGCUGCGAAUAAGCUUUGAUCCGACGAUUUCUGAAUGGGGCAACCCACUCCGUAAGGAGUAUCCCGCAAGGGAAGCAAACCCGGGGAACUGAAACAUCUAAGUACCCGGAGGAAAGGACAUCAACCGAGACUCCGUUAGUAGUGGCGAGCGAACGCGGACCAGGCCAGUGGCCUAUAUGUAAAAACAGGAAAGAGCUGGAAAGCUCUGCCAUAGUGGGUGAUAGCCCCGUACUGGUAAAAAGCAUAUAGGUCCUCGAGUAAGGCGGAACACGUGAAAUUCUGUCUGAACAUGGGGGGACCACCCUCCAAGCCUAAGUACUCGUGUGCGACCGAUAGUGAACAAGUACCGUGAGGGAAAGGUGAAAAGCACCCCGACGAGGGGAGUGAAAUAGUUCCUGAAACUGGAUGCCUACAAACAGUCGGAGCCCGCAAGGGUGACGGCGUACCUUUUGUAUAAUGGGUCAGCGACUUAAUUUAACAUGCAAGCUUAAACCGUUAGGUGUAUGCGCAGCGAAAGCGAGUCUGAAUAGGGCGUUGAGUAUGUUGGAUUAGACCCGAAACCAAGUGAUCUAGCCAUGGGCAGGCUGAAGGUGCAGUAACAUGCACUGAAGGGCCGAACCCACUUCUGUUGAAAAAGAACGGGAUGACCUGUGGCUAGGGGUGAAAGGCCAAUCAAACUUGGAAAUAGCUGGUUCUCCGCGAAAUCUAUUUAGGUAGAGCGUCAGACGAAUACUCCAGGGGGUAGAGCACUGGAUGGGCUAGGGGUCCCCAACGGAUUACCAAACCUAACCAAACUCCGAAUACCUGGAAGUAAUAUCUGGCAGACACACCACGGGUGCUAAGGUCCGUGGUGGAAAGGGAAACAGCCCUGACCGACAGCUAAGGUCCCAAAGUCAUGGUUAAGUGGGAAAGCUUGUGAGAUUGCACAGACAACCAGGAGGUUGGCUUAGAAGCAGCCAUCCUUUAAAGAUAGCGUAACAGCUCACUGGUCAAGCGAUCUUGCGGCGAAAAUGUAACGGGGCUCAAACCAUGCACCGAAGCUUCGGGUUUACAAUUUAUUGUAAGCGGUAGCGGAGCGUUCUGUAAGUCUGCGAAGGGAUACCCGCGAGGGGUCCUGGAGGUAUCAGAAGUGCGAAUGCUGACAUGAGUAGCGAUAAAGAGUGUGAGAGACACUCUCGCCGAAAGUCCAAGGGUUCCUGCGCAAUGCUAAUCAGCGCAGGGUUAGUCGGCCCCUAAGUCGAGGACGAAAGUCGUAGACGAUGGGAAACAGGUUAAUAUUCCUGUACCUGGUGGUAGUGACGAAUCUAUAGAUCUGUCAGUCCUUAUCGGAUUGGUUCUGGCAGUGAGUAGGUUCCAGGAAAUAGCUCCACCAACAAGACCGUACUCUAAACCAACACAGGUGGACAGGUAGAGAAUACUAAGGCGCUUGAGAGAACUAUGCUGAAGGAACUCGGCAAAUUACAUGCGUAACUUCGGGAUAAGCAUGACCAUAUGGGAGGCAACUCUCAUGUGGUGGCACAGACCAGGGGGUGGCGACUGUUUACUAAAAACAUAGGGCUCUGCGAAGUCGUAAGACGACGUAUAGGGUCUGACGCCUGCCCGGUGCCUGAAGGUUAAAAGGAGAGGUGAGAGCCUUGAAUUGAAGCCCAGGUAAACGGCGGCCGUAACUAUAACGGUCCUAAGGUAGCGAAAUUCCUUGUCGGGUAAGUUCCGACCUGCACGAAUGGCGUAACGACUUCCCCACUGUCUCCAGCAUAGACUCAGCGAAAUUGAAUUCCCCGUGAAGAUGCGGGGUUCCUGCGGUUAGACGGAAAGACCCCGUGCACCUUUACUAUAGCUUCACACUGGCAUUCGUGUCGGCAUGUGCAGAAUAGGUGGUAGGCUUUGAACUAUAGACGCCAGUUUAUAGGGAGCCAAAAUGUGAGAUACCACCCUUAUCGUCAUGUAUGUCUAACCGCGGCGUAACAGCGUCCGGGACAGUGUGUGGUGGGUAGUUUGACUGGGGCGGUCGCCUCCCAAAGAGUAACGGAGGCGCGCGAUGGUGGGCUCAGACCGGUCGGAAAUCGGUCGUCGAGUGCAAUGGCAUAAGCCCGCCUGACUGCGAGACUGACAAGUCGAGCAGAGACGAAAGUCGGUCAUAGUGAUCCGGUGGUCCCGCGUGGAAGGGCCAUCGCUCAACGGAUAAAAGGUACGCCGGGGAUAACAGGCUGAUGAUGCCCAAGAGUCCAUAUCGACGGCAUUGUUUGGCACCUCGAUGUCGGCUCAUCGCAUCCUGGGGCUGGAGCAGGUCCCAAGGGUUUGGCUGUUCGCCAAUUAAAGCGGUACGCGAGCUGGGUUUAGAACGUCGUGAGACAGUUCGGUCCCUAUCUGCCGUGGGUGUAGGAAUGUUGAGAAGAGUUGCCCCUAGUACGAGAGGACCGGGGUGAACAGAUCUCUGGUGGACCUGUUGUGGCGCCAGCCGCAUAGCAGGGUAGCUAUAUCUGGACGGGAUAACCGCUGAAAGCAUCUAAGCGGGAAGCCUCCUUCAAAACUAGCAUUCCCUUGAGAGCCGUGGGAGACCACCACGUUGAUAGGUCAGGUGUGGAAGCGCAGCAAUGUGUGAAGCUUACUGAUACUAAUAGCUCGAUUGGCUUGAUUGU
This 2723-nucleotide ribosomal RNA is filed under the name Maritalea porphyrae. Its description in RNAcentral is "23S ribosomal RNA". It matches the Rfam family "Bacterial large subunit ribosomal RNA". The record is from RNAcentral. Lineage: Bacteria; Pseudomonadati; Pseudomonadota; Alphaproteobacteria; Hyphomicrobiales; Devosiaceae.